CUCCCCUAGCUUUUUCUCUUCAAUCUAUAAAUAGACAUAGGCUAAGAAGUGCAUGUUCUCACUCUCGCAGCUAUGGCACAGGACCAUAACUCAGUAUUUCAACAAUUGCACUUGCCUGGAUGAAGCUUUAUCUGGCAGUAAUUCCCAUGGGCAUCUAUUUUUUGUUAAGAUUGCCUGCCUCUUGAAAUAGGGCAAACGUUCGACUUCCACACUGAGACACGAAUUACAAACAAAAAGUGGCAUACUGAAGUGAAUAGGAGCAGAGACUUUGGGGCUCAAAUGUCAAGAGUCUGAAUCCUGGCUUCAGACCAUGGACUGUGGCUUUCUGUCUCAAUAGGGUCAAUAGGGUCAUUUGUCCCACCUUGAUCUAUCUUUCUUAAUCAACUAUAUUUCCAUUGAAUUUUUGCUGUUAUACAAAACCAAACAUGUUUCUCUGUCACUGAAGAAGCUAUUUUUAUAAACCUGCAGAGUUUCGGACAACAAACUAAUAUAUCCUGGUCUUGGUAUUUCCUAGAAUGAUGUCCAAAUUUCAUCUCCGAUUAAAUAAUUUUUAACUUUUGAAACCAUUACUUCUAUCUUUAGUAUUGCAGUCCAAUUGUGAAAAAUCCAAUAAAUUCAUUUUUCCCAUAUCUCUCCUCUAGCAUGUAUUUG
This 651-nucleotide long non-coding RNA is filed under the name Pan paniscus (pygmy chimpanzee). Its description in RNAcentral is "lncRNA (ENSPPAG00000045196.1)". The record is from RNAcentral. Lineage: Eukaryota; Metazoa; Chordata; Mammalia; Primates; Hominidae.